CUGGGCGGUGACCGGCCACAAAAUGGCCCACCAGGGGCUGCGGGUACCUCAAGAUGUGAGUCUUUGUUCUCUGACCAGGAAGCGCGGUGACGAUUGAAGCAAGUAACAGUUCCAUCAGGAGCUCCUGUUCCCAGGUGUUCUUGUAUUAAUACCAAAAAGGUUGUCAAAAAGAAGAUUAUUUACCUUUUGGAGAAGCUCACUCCUGGAAACUGACAUCAUUGUCUUCAGCAUCUCAUCUACAGAACCAAGAGAUUUUUCAAAUGCUGCAAG
Columba livia (rock pigeon) is the source of this 270-nucleotide long non-coding RNA. RefSeq lists it as uncharacterized. The record is from RefSeq and is a predicted model, not a curated record. The transcript is spliced from 3 exons. Lineage: Eukaryota; Metazoa; Chordata; Aves; Columbiformes; Columbidae.